RNAcentral lists this ribosomal RNA (1443 nucleotides) under Triticum aestivum (bread wheat). RNAcentral describes it as "partial small subunit ribosomal RNA". The record is from RNAcentral. Lineage: Eukaryota; Viridiplantae; Streptophyta; Magnoliopsida; Poales; Poaceae.
AUGGAACUACAAUUGUGGGUGGACUAUGACGAGGAGGAAACAAGGAUCAAUGUGACCUUGGCUCCACUCCAUGUCGGAAAACCCUUGAAGCCACUAUUGUCUGCAACCUAUGACCUCUCAACUGUGCUCACGGAGACAGCAUAUAUUGGUUUCUCAUCUACUGCUGAACUUACAAACACUAGUCAUUAUGUUCUUGGAUGGAGCUUCGGUAUGAACAUGCAAGCUCCGUCCAUUGACAUCUCCAAGCUUCCUAAGUUGCCUAGUGUUGGCGAAAAGGCCCAGCCAAAGCUCUUGGCGAUCAUCCUCCCAAUAGCAACUGCAGCAUUGAUCAUGUCUAUCGGCACUCUCGUCAUUCUGAUGGUGCGAAGAAGAAGAAGAAGGUAUAGUGAGGUGCGCGAGGAUUGGGAGAGCGAGUUCGGCCCACACCGAUUCUCGUACAAGGAUUUGUUCAAUGCUACUCAAGGAUUUAAGAGCAAGAACCUGGUUGGAGCAGGAGGGUUCGGGGAGGUAUACAAAGGGCUGCUUCAGUUUUCCAAGAAGGAGAUCGCCGUGAAGAGGAUGUCCCACGAGUCGAGACAAGGGAUGAAGGAGUUCAUCACCGAGGUUGUUAGCAUUGGCCGGUUGCGACAUCGCAACCUAGUGCAGCUACUUGGUUAUUGCAGGCGGAAAGGUGAACUGAUGUUGGUGUACGACUACAUGUCAAAUGGCAGCCUCGACAAGUACAUACACUAUCAACAGGACGACAAGCCCACCUUAAAUUGGGCUCAGAGGUUUCAGGUCAUCAAGGGUAUCGCUACCGGCUUGCUCUACCUGCACGAGAAGUGGGAGAAAGUCGUGGUGCACCGGGACAUCAAGGCAAGCAACGUCCUCCUCGACGAUGAAAUGAAUGGGCGGCUCGGCGACUUCGGCCUCGCCCGGUUAUAUGAUCACGGCACCGAUCCACAGAGCACACACAUGGUCGGCACGAUGGGGUACCUUGCCCCCGAGCUAGUGCGCACGGGCAAGGCGUCCCCUCUUACCGAUGUGUAUGCCUUCGGCAUGUUUCUUCUUGAAGUUACAUGUGGGCAAAAGCCUGUCAGGCAAGGUCCUACAGUGGAAAACCAGGUUUUCUUGGUGGACUGGGUCCUGGAGCACUGGAACAACCGACUGCUUAGCAGGACGGUGGACGCACGGCUCCAGGGUGACUACGGCGUUGACGAAGCGUGCCUCGUGCUGAAGAUAGGACUUUUGUGCCUGCACCCCUUUCCUGGUUCGAGGCCUAGCAUGCGACAAGUCAUGCAGUACCUCGACGGCGAGACCCCUCUGCCAGAGAUGACGACGACGCAGCUGAGCGUGGAGAUGCAGGGGUUGAUGCAGGACAGCGGGUUCAGCACAUCCGUCAUGUCUUACCCCCAGCUGAUGUCCAGCUUUGGGGCAGUGUCCGACCUCUCUGGAGGACGAUGA